Molecule: long non-coding RNA, 1280 nt
Filed under: Actinia tenebrosa (Australian red waratah sea anemone)
Lineage: Eukaryota; Metazoa; Cnidaria; Anthozoa; Actiniaria; Actiniidae
Description: uncharacterized LOC116306486, transcript variant X2
Source: RNAcentral
AAGAAGCGAAGGAAAGUGGGAUAAGAAGAUUGUGAAAAAAGACACGAAACACUAUGAUCGAAAAUGGAAAAAGAAAAGGUUUGACGACGCACUCUAAAAAAAUCGGAAGUGGACUUGAAGUAGAAAGGGAAAGUGAGCUUUUUCGUACAAAAUCAGUGACAAUAUCUUAAAGUGAGAAGAAAGGAUAUAGAAUAAGUCUUUACUCGCGUGGAUUGUCGGCCAACUAAAAAACCAGAUCCAUGGAAAAGACGAUCUAAAAUUCUUGUUAAUGAAUUUACAAUUCUGUUUGGUGUAUAGAGGGCGUAUUUGCCAAAUUUGGACUCAAAAGGAAACGCUUUUUGACCUUCGUUUAUCAUUUGUCUGAUUCUCCUGGGAAUUCAGCGACAGCUCUCUCAUCACGCUCUGGGUGGCUACCUGUGUCUGGUUGAUCGACAAGAAGACCCGAUGCCCCAUCUGUCGAGGACCGAGAUAAAGCAAUUUGAAAGUAACUUGAGAAGAGUUAAAGAGUCAAAGAGCAAAACUCUUGUCGCUUUUAGCGAUGAGUUCACAUAAACAUAUUCAAAUAUAUAUAACGACUUGUACAUAAAAAAUAAUGCUGUAGUUUUAGGACUUUCUUUUGUUGCUUCUUUGCCGGGCUUCUUUGCGCCAAGACUAAUGAAGCCCAUUCUGCUACUCAAAAAUCUUUGUGACUGACGAAAAACUAGAUGAGCCCCCAUAAACCCCUACGAUAUUUUGUGCGUGCUAUUCGGCAUGAAAACUUAGGAAGCAUUUAGCUAAUAAUCUUAAACUGAAGCCCCAAAAAUGCCUAACAUUAUCAAUAUACUCAAGGUUGGUGGUAAUAGGCAAUGGGUUUGUUUCAGACUUUGAAUCGUUCGCAAACCCUUGAAAAUAAAGUUUGAACUUCACGCAAGCGAUGGAAGCCAUUCAUAAACCAUGUUCAUGAAACAGAAAUACUAAGAGGUAUAAAAUAAAAGGUUCAACGGUAACUGAAAAUAAAAAAAGAAAAUCGUUCGCAAACCCUUGAAAAUAAAGUUUGAACUUCACGCAAGCCGUGGAAGCCAUUCAUAAACCAUGUUCAUGCAGCAGAAAUACUAAGAGGUAUAAAAUAAAAGGUUCAACGGUAACUGACAAUAACAGAAGAGAAUUGGAAGGUUGAUGAAAUAAUGAGGCCUGAUGAUUGUGAUGAAGUUCAGGACAUUCGAUACUAAAGUUGGAUGGAAAAUGGGGAAAAUGGCCAUGGUUUUGGAAUCAGAGGUCAGUGCCUGAGAGCUGUUAAGCAA